RNAcentral lists this unclassified non-coding RNA (2615 nucleotides) under Hevea brasiliensis (rubber tree). The record is from RNAcentral. Lineage: Eukaryota; Viridiplantae; Streptophyta; Magnoliopsida; Malpighiales; Euphorbiaceae.
CACAUUUUCAUCCUCGUAAAAGAAAAAAAAUGGAACUUACAGGCACAAGCUUAGCAGCGGUGUGGCUUUCUUCAAUCCAGCAUUUUCAUGUGUUAUUCUUAAUUUCUGUAACCAUGCUAUGCUUCCAACCUGCUGUUUGUAUCACUAAAUUGGGAAAUGAGACUGAUAGGCUUGCUCUUCUGGAAUUCAAAUACAAGAUAAGCAAUGAUCCGAAUGGCAUCUUCAGCUCAUGGAAUGACUCUGUCCACUUCUGCAAAUGGGAAGGAGUUACUUGUGGCCCCAAACAUCAGAGAGUUGCGUCUCUAAAUCUGCAGGGGUUGAGCUUGUCAGGGAACAUAUCUCCAUAUACAGGGAACCUCACCUUCUUGAGGUUCCUCAGCCUUGGUGACAAUAGAUUCCAUGGAGAAAUUCCUCAAGAAGUUGGUCACCUCUUCAGAUUGAGAUAUCUCAACCUGACGAAUAACCCAUUGAGGGGUGAAAUUCCAGGUAACAUCGGCAAUUGUUCAGAGCUCAGGGUUGUAAGUUUGGUUAAUAACAACCUAGAGGGAAAAAUACCUUCUGAGCUAGGCUCCUUAAGGAAGCUUGUGAUUCUUGUCUUUGAUAAAAAUAGUCUCACAGGAGAGAUCCCACAUUCCCUUGGAAAUCUUUCAUCCCUAAAAGAUUUUAGCUUAAUUUAUAAUCAUUUGCAGGGAAAGAUUCCAACUGAAUUGGGACACUUAACAAGCUUAACUUCCCUCGGGCUCGGAUCUAAUAAUCUGAGUGGUUCAAUACCUCCUACCAUUUACAAUAUCUCAACUAUCAGUUACUUUGGUAUUACAUAUAAUCAAUUAAGUGGGAGUCUCCCAGCUAACAUAGGCCUAACUCUUCCUAAGCUACAGCUCCUGUCGUUGGCUCAAAAUGGAUUUUUUGGAACGAUUCCAGAAUCAUUGGCCAAUGCUUCUCAGCUUCAGCUUAUUGACAUCUCUAACAACAGUUUCACGGGACAAGUUCCUGCCAAUCUGGGGAAUAUCAAGGGUCUUCAGCAGCUUCAUGUGGAGUUCAAUUUCUUGGGCAGCAAUACAAGUCAAGAUUUGAGUUUUGUACCAUCCCUGGCCAACUGCAGCAUUAAUCUACAACAACUAUAUUUUGAUGGAAACAAUAUUGGUGGUACAUUAUAUAGCUCCAUUGGCAAUCUCUCUACCCUUGUUCAACUAGGCCUAGGACGAAAUCCAAUAUCAGGAACAAUCCCAGAAGAGGUAGGGAAUCUUGUGAAUUUGUUUCGAUUAGAUAUGGAUGGAAACCUUUUGGCAGGUAGCAUUCCCAUUUCUCUUGGAAAGAUUCAAAAGCUGGAAAGGCUAACCUUAAAUGACAAUAUACUUUGUGGAAAAAUCCCAGUAUCCCUGGGUAACAUCACCAAAAUGUAUUGGCUUCAUUUAGCAGGAAACAAAUUAGAAGGAAAUAUAACCCCAAGUCUUGGAAGCUGCAAAAAUCUUCGUUUCCUGGAUGUAUCAAGAAAUAAGCUCACGGGCAUCAUACCCAAACAAAUCCUUGGACUUUCUUCUCUAUCAGAAACUCUUAACUUAUCACAGAACUCAUUUACAGGUCCCUUACCGUUAGAAGUUGGCAACUUGAAAAGUAUCAAUGCAUUAGAUGUCUCAGAGAACAAACUCUAUGGGGAAAUUCCUAGGACAAUUGGUGAUUGUUCUAGGCUAGAAAUCCUUAACAUGCAGGGUAACUUCCUGCAAGGAGCCAUUCCCUCAUCUUUUAAUUCUUUGAGAGGUCUCCAACGAAUAGAUCUGUCCAGAAACAACUUGUCAGGAAAUAUUCCUAAUGAGUUAGAGAAGCUUAUCUUCUUGCGAUAUUUAAAUCUUUCAAACAAUAAUUUUGAGGGUGAGGUACCAAAAAUGGGAGUUUUCAGCAACGCAAGUGCAUUUUCACUCGUUGGAAAUAGGAAUCUUUGCGGAGGUAUCCCUGAGUUGCAGCUGCCAGCAUGCCUCGUCAAGGAAGAAAAACACAGAAGGCCUUCCAUUGUCAUAAUCCUCACCACAACCAUCAGUUCAUUUCUGUUUGUCGCGAUAUUGACGUCCUUGUGUGUUUACUAUAGACGGAAGUCGAAAAAAAGUACCAUUUUUUCAACUUUUUCAGUGGAUAAGCUUCCUCAAAUUUCAUUCAAGGAACUCUUGCAAGCAACUGGCGGAUUCUCUUCAGAAAACUUAAUUGGACAAGGAAGUUUUGGCUCAGUAUAUAAAGGAAGUCUUGAUCACCAGGGGAAAUGUUUUGUCGCGGUAAAGGUACUCAACCUUCAGCAACAUGGAGCUUCCAAGAGUUUCAUUGCCGAGUGCAAAGCAUUGAAAAACAUCCGGCACAGGAAUCUUGUUAAAAUCUUGACGUACUGCUCCAGCAUUGAUUUUAAAGGCAAUGAUUUCAAAGCUCUAGUGUUUACAUUCAUGGAAAAUGGUAGUUUGGAAAUGUGGUUGCAUCCAGAGGAAAAUGGUUAUAGUCAGACAAGGAAAUUAAACUUUCUUCAAAGACUAUGCAUUGCCAUUGAUGUGGCUUCUGCAUUGCAUUAUCUUCAUGACCACUGUGAUACGCAAAUCGUUCAUUGUGACUUGAAGCCAAGCAAUAUUCUUCUUGAU